UUAACGAUUAUGUGUUACUCGGACGGUACGUUUGAUAGGGUUUGGUGGGCCUCUGACGGGCACGGGCCAGCCGGAGCCGGCGGUCCCGGGAGACGGGCCCGUCAAAGCAACACGGAUAGGUAGACAGAGGGUUGGAGAUCUACCCCGGAGGGCACGUUCUCAUUAAUGAUCCUUCCGCAGGUUCACCUACGGAAA
This 195-nucleotide unclassified non-coding RNA is filed under the name uncultured fungus. Its description in RNAcentral is "sequence contains ITS1". The record is from RNAcentral. Lineage: Eukaryota; Fungi.